RNAcentral lists this ribosomal RNA (253 nucleotides) under uncultured bacterium. Its description in RNAcentral is "partial 16S ribosomal RNA". It matches the Rfam family "Bacterial small subunit ribosomal RNA", at positions 524 to 776 of the family's 1533-position model. The record is from RNAcentral.
UACGGAGGGUGCAAGCGUUAUCCGGAUUCACUGGGUUUAAAGGGUGCGUAGGAGGGCAGGUAAGUCAGUGGUGAAAUCUCCAAGCUUAACUUGGAAACUGCCGUUGAUACUAUCUGUCUUGAAUACCGUGGAGGUGAGCGGAAUAUGUCAUGUAGCGGUGAAAUGCUUAGAUAUGACAUAGAACACCAAUUGCGAAGGCAGCUCACUACGCGAAUAUUGACACUGAGGCACGAAAGCGUGGGGAUCAAACAGG